AACAACAAAACAUUUCACAAGUUAAAAGUUCAAACAUCAUUCGGUGAGUGUUUUGUACUACAGCAUCUCCAUCUCCAUCUCCUUUACUAGAAUCUUCAUCGUCGGCAUGGUUCGAGGGAUCAUGGCGAGAAGGAUUAGCAUCUAGGGAAGUCUCGUGAGAUCAUUAGGAAUCAUAAGUUAAAUGCAUUCAUUUAAGUUCUAUUAAGAACCAUAAGUUCAUAAUUCAUGAUAGUGCAUAAGUUAUACCUUAAUUCUAAAUCUAAUGUAGUUCAAACCAAAAACCCAAAAAGUUCAUAAUUUUAGAUAGUUCAAAUCUAAAUCUAAAUCUAAUGUAUAAAAAAUUCCUAUUUAGUCACAUAAUUUCUAAAAAGAUAAAAAACCUAAAAAAUUAGAUAAAACUAUAUUUCGAAAAUUAAAAAUUAGCUAAUAAGGUAGAUUACUAACUUUGAACAAUAAUGGCAACGGUGGUGCCGACGAGGAGGAGAACGGCAAUGGUGGUGGUGAUGGCGGUUGGGGGCGCAGGCGUGAG
RNAcentral lists this long non-coding RNA (529 nucleotides) under Nicotiana benthamiana. Its description in RNAcentral is "long non-coding RNA (NBEN_LNC012793)". The record is from RNAcentral. Lineage: Eukaryota; Viridiplantae; Streptophyta; Magnoliopsida; Solanales; Solanaceae.